UACAGAGGUCUCAAGCGUUGUUCGGAUUCAUUGGGCGUAAAGGGUGCGUAGGCGGCGCGGUAAGUCGGGUGGGAAAUCUCGGAGCUUAACUCCGAAACUGCAUUCGAUACUGCCGUGCUUGAGGACUGGAGAGGAAACUGGAAUUUACGGUGUAGCGGUGAAAUGCGUAGAUAUCGUAAGGAAGACCAGUGGCGAAGGCGGGUCUCUGGACCGUUCCUGACGCUGAGGCACGAAGGCCAGGGGAGCAAACGGG
Molecule: ribosomal RNA, 253 nt
Filed under: uncultured bacterium
Lineage: Bacteria
Description: partial 16S ribosomal RNA
Rfam family: Bacterial small subunit ribosomal RNA
Source: RNAcentral